Molecule: transfer RNA, 73 nt
Filed under: Felis catus (domestic cat)
Lineage: Eukaryota; Metazoa; Chordata; Mammalia; Carnivora; Felidae
Rfam family: tRNA
About the family: Transfer RNA (tRNA) molecules are approximately 80 nucleotides in length. Their secondary structure includes four short double-helical elements and three loops (D, anti-codon, and T loops).
Source: Rfam by way of RNAcentral
ACUUAGCUGGCUCAGUCAGCAGAGCGUGGGACUCUUGAUCUCAGAGUUAUGAGUUCAAGCCCCAUGUUGGGUG